GUGAAUCAUCAAAUCUUUGAACGCAAAUUGCACUCUCUUCGGAGAGUAUGCCUGUUUGAGGGUCAGCCUAAAAAAAAAAUCGACAUAGUCGCUGUUUCGCGGUGUCAUUCGUCGGCAAUUUGGUCAUCUUAAACCUUUGGGUUUUAAGCGGCUUAAAAUUUUCUUUACGAUUACACGAACGUUUCUAAGAUUUACUUCUUAUACGUUUAAGCUAUACAUCUUUAUUAGAAGUGGCCGUCGGAUCGGAACCCCCCCAAAA
RNAcentral lists this unclassified non-coding RNA (259 nucleotides) under Glomus sp. Its description in RNAcentral is "partial contains 5.8S ribosomal RNA and internal transcribed spacer 2". The stretch from base 1 to 65 matches the Rfam family "5.8S ribosomal RNA", at positions 84 to 154 of the family's 154-position model. The record is from RNAcentral. Lineage: Eukaryota; Fungi; Glomeromycota; Glomeromycetes; Glomerales; Glomeraceae.